This 551-nucleotide ribosomal RNA is filed under the name uncultured bacterium. Its description in RNAcentral is "bacterial SSU rRNA". It matches the Rfam family "Bacterial small subunit ribosomal RNA", at positions 567 to 1116 of the family's 1533-position model. The record is from RNAcentral.
GUGCGUAGGCGGUUUGGUAAGUCUCUUGUGAAAACUCCGGGCUCAACUCGGAGCCUGCAGGAGAAACUGCCGGGCUUGAGUGUGGGAGAGGUGAGUGGAAUUCCUGGUGUAGCGGUGAAAUGCGUAGAUAUCAGGAGGAACACCUGUGGCGAAAGCGGCUCACUGGACCACAACUGACGCUGAUGCACGAAAGCUAGGGGAGCAAACAGGAUUAGAUACCCCGGUAGUCCACGCCCUAAACGAUGUGUACUAGGUGUUGGGCGUAUUGACGCGCUCAGUGCCGCAGCCAACGCAAUAAGUACACCGCCUGGGGAGUACGGCCGCAAGGUUAAAACUCAAAGGAAUUGACGGGGACCCGCACAAGCGGUGGAGCAUGUGGUUUAAUUCGAUGCAACGCGAAGAACCUUACCUGGUCUUGACAUCCCAGGAACCCUGUAGAGAUACGGGGGUGCCUUCGGGAACCUGGAGACAGGUGCUGCAUGGCUGUCGUCAGCUCGUGUCGUGAGAUGUUGGGUUAAGUCCCGCAACGAGCGCAACCCUUGUCCUUAGUU